Molecule: long non-coding RNA, 418 nt
Organism: Saccostrea echinata
Lineage: Eukaryota; Metazoa; Mollusca; Bivalvia; Ostreida; Ostreidae
Exons: 2
Source: RefSeq, a predicted model, not a curated record
GAUACACAGCCAACAGAAAGGACAAAAUCAUGGGUCUGGCUGACACAGUUUACAGACUUGUAUUCAGGCGAACUUCAACAUUUGCCGCAGCUGUUCUUGGCACUGCCAUUGUUUUUGAUGCAUAUUUUAAUGAUUUCUUUGACAGAUGGAUAGCACAACAUAACGCAGGUAGGCGGUAUGAAGAUUUGAGAAAGAUAUAUCCUGAGGCUGUUAGCAGUGGUGGUGAAGAUGAUGAUGACUAGGAAUACCUAUAGGAUAUCUAGGGAUUAUACUGACUACUGGUUAAUAUGUGAUAUGAUGUUAAAAAAAAAAACAACAAAACUGUUGGAAAAUGCAGUCACAUGUAUGAUUGUGAUAUUAUUGUGUGUGAAAUGUAAAAAACCAACACAUUAAUUUAAUAACAUCUAUUUUAAAAGUU